UUUUUCUUUCUUUUUUCCUUUAGAAUUGAACCAGGACUUAACAAGAUGGCUGCUCUGCAUUUCCUGUUGGCCUUUGUCUUUUUUGCUGCCCUAGUUCCUUCAGUGGAAGCUCAAGUGUUGAGUGUCGUGUGUCUCGUUCUAGACGCAAUACAAGAUUUUCUGCUGUGCAAUCUCCCGGCAAACGUCUUCUGCUUUGUUCCCGAGCUUCUGGAUGACCUUUUGUGCUAACAAUAAGUGUCAUCUUUGCAGACCUCAAGCUGUCCGGAUUUCAUCCCACUUCGAGCGAACAGAAUGUGGAUUGAAUUGUAAUUGAGAAUGCAUUAAUUUUGUUCUUGAGAAAUGUUUCUUGUUUUUGUAGGAGACUUUUCUCUAAUAUUGUUUUCUCAUUGAGAAUAAGAUAAUGAUGAGCCCUGUAACAAUGAUAGAAUCUUUUCAAAACAAAAAUGUCAAACCCCCGUUUUGUUGAAGUUGGAGCUCGAUUAUUUCGUUACGUUUUAUUGAUGCCAAACGUCUUUCAACUGUAAGGCACGCUUAUCAACCUCAGAAAAAGGGGUGAACUAGAAUAUUUGUUGUCACGAGUUUGAAUAUCGAAAUUUUGGUGCUGAAAAUUCCUAGAGAGCCUAAAAUCGAAUAGCAAGACUGGAUUCUCAUAACCUUUUUAUUACAGUACGCCAAUACUCUGGCACCAUGUUUUUGUGAGAGUAUUAGUUGCGUAUUAGAUUACUGAAUUGGAACAAAGCCAAAAGCUGCAUUUUUUUCAUAGAGACUGCAAAUAAAAUAGGACAUUCAAACUAAACUCAAACGUGUUUGAGUCGGAUAAAAUGGUAUUCAAAGCUCACAUAUAAUUCAUAUAAAGUCGUCAUAUCAUUUCCUUGUAGAAAUACCACUGAUCCUCAACGAGAUAGUAUUCUUCAGGUACUUAUAGCAGUUCAAGUUUUGAGAAAACUAUUGUUUCGAUGAAAAGCAUCAUAGUCAUAAUGGUGUAUUCACAGGGUAUUAAGAUACAUUUUGUUGUUUUCUGGGUGACUGCAUUUGUUAUCAGUUUGUGUAAAAAACGCGUGUAGCCGCGGUCAAGUCCCUUUAUGAGAUAUUUCUAUAUUUUGUAGAAUCUAUAUGGCUGUGUGAACCACGGGGAACUUGCAUCCCUUUGCCCCAACCACUUUUCUCUCGAAAUUUUAAGAUCGUGCUAUUCUGCCAUAAAUGUUUCAACCAUUCAUAGGUGGGAUGAUGUUGAACUGCAUUCGGUCUGAUUAUUAUCAACGACGGUGACUUAUGUAUGAAAUAGUCGAUUUCGUAUAAUUAAAAUGAAGCUAUAGAUAAAAAUUGGAGGGAACGUGUCUCUGAAUAUUCGGUUUUCAAUGCUUUUUUAUCGCUUAGCAUAGUAGUAGUACAAUUUAGACCAUUUUGAAGGCGGGCUUCCAAACUUAACUGGCUUGUCAGGACCAAUCCACGCUGAGAGGGAUACAGCAUCCUAGCAGCAAGACCGAGGAACACGAUAAGAAUUCGCCCCCCCUCGGAUAUCGAACUCGAGUCCAGUGUGUGCAACUGCAAAGCUGUUAACUUCUACACCACAUAUGAUAGUAGUAGUAGUAGUAGUAGUAGUAGUAGUAGUAGUAGUAGUAGUAGUAGUAGUAGUAGUAGUAGUAGUAGUAGUAGUAGUAGUAGUAGUUGCAGUUGUAGUUGUAAUGGUAACAAUUAAUUGAAAUAUUUCAAGUGGUAAGAAUGAUGGUAGUAAUAAUAAAGCUGACGAUAGCCGUAAUUUUAAUGAUAAUAAUGAUAAUCGUAACCACAAAACAAAAACAAAAGCAAACAAACACACUCACAAACAAAAGAAAGAUAUACCAAAAGGCACUACAUAUUCAACAUCCUGUCCCAGAGCAGAAUGCAAAUACAUUUCCAUGAGGAGGCACUUGUGAAAUAUUGUUUUAAAUUCCUUUAUAUUGGCAUUAAUUGUUGUUUAUUCACUUUCUUCUUUGUUCAAACAAAGAAUACGAACUAGAUUCCAACGAAAAUGUAUUAAAACAAUUGGCAUACACA
Long non-coding RNA from Aplysia californica (California sea hare), 2037 nucleotides. RefSeq lists it as uncharacterized. The record is from RefSeq and is a predicted model, not a curated record. The transcript is spliced from 3 exons. NCBI's taxonomy places the organism in Eukaryota, Metazoa, Mollusca, Gastropoda, Aplysiida, Aplysiidae.